Molecule: ribosomal RNA, 468 nt
Filed under: uncultured bacterium
Lineage: Bacteria
Description: partial 16S ribosomal RNA
Rfam family: Bacterial small subunit ribosomal RNA
Source: RNAcentral
GACGAACGCUGGCGGCGUGCUUAACACAUGCAAGUCGAACGGACAGGCCCUGCUUUUGUGGGGUGCUCGAGUGGCGAACGGGUGAGUAACACGUGAGUAACCUGCCCUUGACUUUGGGAUAACUUCAGGAAACUGGGGCUAAUACCGGAUAGGAGCUCCUGCUGCAUGGUGUGGGUUGGAAAGUUUCGGCGGUUGGGGAUGGACUCGCGGCUUAUCAGCUUGUUGGUGGGGUAGUGGCUUACCAAGGCUUUGACGGGUAGCCGGCCUGAGAGGGUGACCGGCCACAUUGGGACUGAGAUACGGCCCAGACUGCUACGGGAGGCAGCAGUGGGGAAUAUUGCACAAUGGGCGGAAGCCUGAUGCAGCAACGCCGCGUGCGUGAUGACGGCCUUCGGGUUGUAAACCGCUUUCGCCUGUGACGAAGUGUGAGUGACGGUAAUGGGUAAAGAAGCACCGGCUAACUACGUG